CCCUUAGAUGUUCUGGGCCGCACGCGCGCUACACUGACGAAGUCAGCGAGCAUCUCCUUCGCCGAAAGGUGCGGGGAAUCUUGUGAAACUUUGUCGUGCUGGGGAUUGAUUUUUGAAAUUCUUGAUCAUCAACGAGGAAUUCCUAGUAAGCGUGAGUCAUCAGCUCGCGUUGAUUACGUCCCUGCCCUUUGUACACACCGCCCGUCGCUACUACCGAUUGAAUGGCUUAGUGAGCCUUUGGGAUUGGCAGCUUGUACCGGCAACGGUAGCAGGCCGCUGAAAACUUAGGCAAACUUGGUCAUUUAGAGGAAGUAAAAGUCGUAACA
This 326-nucleotide ribosomal RNA is filed under the name uncultured eukaryote. RNAcentral describes it as "partial 18S ribosomal RNA". It matches the Rfam family "Eukaryotic small subunit ribosomal RNA", at positions 1470 to 1796 of the family's 1831-position model. The record is from RNAcentral.